UAACUGAAGAGUUUGAUCAUGGCUCAGAUUGAACGCUGGCGGCAGGCUUAACACAUGCAAGUCGAGCGGGGGAAGGUAGCUUGCUACCGGACCUAGCGGCGGACGGGUGAGUAAUGCUUAGGAAUCUGCCUAUUAGUGGGGGACAACAUCUCGAAAGGGAUGCUAAUACCGCAUACGUCCUACGGGAGAAAGCAGGGGAUCUUCGGAUCUUGCGCUAAUAGAUGAGCCUAAGUCGGAUUAGCUAGUUGGUGGGGUAAAGGCCUACCAAGGCGACGAUCUGUAGCGGGUCUGAGAGGAUGAUCCGCCACACUGGGACUGAGACACGGCCCAGACUCCUACGGGAGGCAGCAGUGGGGAAUAUUGGACAAUGGGCGCAAGCCUGAUCCAGCCAUGCCGCGUGUGUGAAGAAGGCCUUAUGGUUGUAAAGCACUUUAAGCGAGGAGGAGGCUACUUU
RNAcentral lists this ribosomal RNA (454 nucleotides) under Acinetobacter nosocomialis. Its description in RNAcentral is "bacterial SSU rRNA". It matches the Rfam family "Bacterial small subunit ribosomal RNA", at positions 1 to 457 of the family's 1533-position model. The record is from RNAcentral. Lineage: Bacteria; Pseudomonadati; Pseudomonadota; Gammaproteobacteria; Moraxellales; Moraxellaceae.